AGAGUUUGAUCCUGGCUCAGGAUGAACGCUGGCGGCGUGCUUAACACAUGCAAGUCGAACGAUGAUCCCAGCUUGCUGGGGGAUUAGUGGCGAACGGGUGAGUAACACGUGAGUAACCUGCCCUUGACUCUGGGAUAAGCCUGGGAAACUGGGUCUAAUACCGGAUAUGACUCCUCAUCGCAUGGUGGGGGGUGGAAAGCUUUUGUGGUUUUGGAUGGACUCGCGGCCUAUCAGCUUGUUGGUGGGGUAAUGGCCUACCAAGGCGACGACGGGUAGCCGGCCUGAGAGGGUGACCGGCCACACUGGGACUGAGACACGGCCCAGACUCCUACGGGAGGCAGCAGUGGGGAAUAUUGCACAAUGGGCGCAAGCCUGAUGCAGCGACGCCGCGUGAGGGAUGACGGCCUUCGGGUUGUAAACCUCUUUCAGUAGGGAAGAAGCGAAAGUGACGGUACCUGCAGAAGAAGCGCCGGCUAACUACGUGCCAGCAGCCGCGGUAAUACGUAGGGCGCAAGCGUUAUCCGGAAUUAUUGGGCGUAAAGAGCUCGUAGGCGGUUUGUCGCGUCUGCUGUGAAAGACCGGGGCUCAACUCCGGUUCUGCAGUGGGUACGGGCAGACUAGAGUGCAGUAGGGGAGACUGGAAUUCCUGGUGUAGCGGUGAAAUGCGCAGAUAUCAGGAGGAACACCGAUGGCGAAGGCAGGUCUCUGGGCUGUAACUGACGCUGAGGAGCGAAAGCAUGGGGAGCGAACAGGAUUAGAUACCCUGGUAGUCCAUGCCGUAAACGUUGGGCACUAGGUGUGGGGGACAUUCCACGUUUUCCGCGCCGUAGCUAACGCAUUAAGUGCCCCGCCUGGGGAGUACGGCCGCAAGGCUAAAACUCAAAGGAAUUGACGGGGGCCCGCACAAGCGGCGGAGCAUGCGGAUUAAUUCGAUGCAACGCGAAGAACCUUACCAAGGCUUGACAUGAACCGGUAAUACCUGGAAACAGGUGCCCCGCUUGCGGUCGGUUUACAGGUGGUGCAUGGUUGUCGUCAGCUCGUGUCGUGAGAUGUUGGGUUAAGUCCCGCAACGAGCGCAACCCUCGUUCUAUGUUGCCAGCGCGUUAUGGCGGGGACUCAUAGGAGACUGCCGGGGUCAACUCGGAGGAAGGUGGGGACGACGUCAAAUCAUCAUGCCCCUUAUGUCUUGGGCUUCACGCAUGCUACAAUGGCCGGUACAAAGGGUUGCGAUACUGUGAGGUGGAGCUAAUCCCAAAAAGCCGGUCUCAGUUCGGAUUGGGGUCUGCAACUCGACCCCAUGAAGUCGGAGUCGCUAGUAAUCGCAGAUCAGCA
Molecule: ribosomal RNA, 1332 nt
Filed under: Paenarthrobacter nicotinovorans 231Sha2.1M6
Lineage: Bacteria; Bacillati; Actinomycetota; Actinomycetes; Micrococcales; Micrococcaceae
Description: bacterial SSU rRNA
Rfam family: Bacterial small subunit ribosomal RNA
Source: RNAcentral